UACGGAGGGUGCAAGCGUUGUCCGGAAUCAUUGGGCGUAAAGGGCGCGUAGGUGGCCCGGUCAGUUCGUGGUGAAAGUCCGGGGCUCAACCUCGGAUCGGCCGUGGCGACUCGUGGGCUGGAGCACUGUAGAGGCGGGUGGAAUUCCGGGUGUAGCGGUGGAAUGCGUAGAGAUCCGGAAGAACACCAGUGGCGAAGGCGGCCCGCUGGGCAGUGGCUGACGCUGAAGCGCGACAGCGUGGGGAGCAAACAGG
RNAcentral lists this ribosomal RNA (253 nucleotides) under uncultured bacterium. Its description in RNAcentral is "partial 16S ribosomal RNA". It matches the Rfam family "Bacterial small subunit ribosomal RNA", at positions 524 to 776 of the family's 1533-position model. The record is from RNAcentral.